GGGGCGGGCCAUGGAGAAGCUGCUCCGACACUGACCAAGUAGAUUGGUCUCACACGGCCAGGCCCGCCAGAGGAGCCUCUCCAGCGAUGGGGAUCCUACAAGGAAGGAUUCCUUCCGCCUGCAAGUAUAAAGCCAGGUCAAAUAUCCUAGACGGCUAGACAAGUCAACAUUGGAGGCGCAUGUUGAGUCCAGUGCCGGUUUUGAACGUACGUACAUGCUGACUAGUAAAUGUUUAAGAAACUGUAUGUAAAUCACUGAAUAAUUUUGUUGGAUAUACCUUGCUAAUUUCUUUCUUAUGCAGGCGUUGGAUCAUUCAUUCUAGGGUGGAUUAAUAACGAUGAAUGUAUGUUGUUGCAAUUUUGUUGAGAUAUGCUCAAAGAUUAGCACUAAAUUUAAAUUUUACUACCUCUGUUUCUAGAUGUAGGAUUUAGGAACAGAGGGUCUACAUGUUUGUAGACGUUAACUCUCUGCCAUACUGUAUUCUUUUUCAGAAUUUUUAGAACAUCUGAAAUAUAAUUUUCACUUGGUUCCCAUUUUAAUAUGGAUACUGAGUAGUGAGACGUUAAUAUUUU
Molecule: long non-coding RNA, 572 nt
Filed under: Triticum aestivum (bread wheat)
Lineage: Eukaryota; Viridiplantae; Streptophyta; Magnoliopsida; Poales; Poaceae
Description: long non-coding RNA (TAES_LNC005765)
Source: RNAcentral